GUGCUAUAGCGAUAUGGCUUCGUGCCACCGUGCCCGUGCCCACUCCAUUCAGAUCAUCAAGGUCGAAUCAGUUGAGGCCUCCAAGACCCGUCGUGCUCACAUCAAGCUGUUCCACGACUCGAAGAUCCGCUUCCCGCUGGUGCAAAGAAACCACCACAAGCGCUACAGGAAGCUGUUAUCUUUCCGCCGACCGGAUACUUACUAUCAGUAAACCAGGAGCCGCCGUUCAUGUACUGUUAAUUCCACUCUUUUUUAGGGAGUAAAAAUGAUGAAGAUCCGUAAGAAACCAUGUAAA
Ochlerotatus camptorhynchus is the source of this 295-nucleotide long non-coding RNA. RefSeq lists it as uncharacterized. The record is from RefSeq and is a predicted model, not a curated record. Lineage: Eukaryota; Metazoa; Arthropoda; Insecta; Diptera; Culicidae. The transcript is spliced from 2 exons.